This 498-nucleotide ribosomal RNA is filed under the name Amphiglossus astrolabi. RNAcentral's name for it is "partial 16S ribosomal RNA". It matches the Rfam family "Bacterial large subunit ribosomal RNA", at positions 1929 to 2620 of the family's 2925-position model. Lineage: Eukaryota; Metazoa; Chordata; Lepidosauria; Squamata; Scincidae. The record is from RNAcentral.
GGCCGCGGUAUUCUAACCGUGCAAAGGUAGCGUAAUCACUUGUCUUUUAAAUAAAGACUCGUAUGAACGGCUAAAUGAGGACAAACCUGUCUCUUAUAGCUAAUCAGUGAAACUGAUCUUCCAGUUCAAAAGCUGGAAUAACCACAUAAGACGAGAAGACCCUGUGGAGCUUCAAACUAACCAUUAACAAGCAAGUACAACUGCACCUAAUGUACAGUUUUGAGUUGGGGCGACUUCGGAACAAAACAAAACUUCCAAGCACAGGACAACACAUCCUAACCGCGGCCAACAAGCCAAAGUCAAUAAUAUAGAUCCAGUAAUACUGAUCAACGGACCAAGUUACCCCAGGGAUAACAGCGCCAUCUUCUUCGAGAGUCCAUAUCGACAAGAAGGUUUACGACCUCGAUGUUGGAUCAGGACACCCAAAUGGUGCAGCCGCUAUUAAAGGUUCGUUUGUUCAACGAUUAACAGUCCUACGUGAUCUGAGUUCAGACCGGA